UGUGGCUUAAUUUGACUCAACGCGGAAAAGCUUAUCUGGUCCGGACACAGUGAGGAUUGACAGACAGUUGGCAGGAGUGGUUCUUGGUAAAAACAAAUGAGAGAGUUGAAGUUCUUUCAUGAUCUUGUGAGAGGUGGUGCAUGGCCGUUCUUAGUUCGUGUAGUGAUAUGUCUGCCUAAUCGCGUCACGAUAACCUAUUGGUCGACAACCCAAUUAUCACAACUGCAGCAUAACUCCCCUUGGGUGGGCGAGGCUCUGUGUAGGAUAGACCUCUGAACAGUACGCAACGAACGCGAUCGUAAUCCCUUGUUGAGUGGCCAUCCUGUAAGCUGCUGGAUUUGAAACCCAGUGGUAUUAUCUCAGCCACAGAUUUUCUGGUUGUAAUGGGCCAGUUUUGAAACUCGGGGAACAUCUGUGACUUUCUUUCUUAACGCAGAGGAAGGUUAUGGCAAUAACA
This 457-nucleotide ribosomal RNA is filed under the name Globigerina bulloides. RNAcentral's name for it is "bacterial SSU rRNA". It matches the Rfam family "Eukaryotic small subunit ribosomal RNA", at positions 1184 to 1458 of the family's 1831-position model. The record is from RNAcentral. Lineage: Eukaryota; Foraminifera; Rotaliida; Globigerinidae.